Molecule: long non-coding RNA, 1605 nt
Organism: Acipenser ruthenus (sterlet)
Lineage: Eukaryota; Metazoa; Chordata; Actinopteri; Acipenseriformes; Acipenseridae
Exons: 7
Source: RefSeq, a predicted model, not a curated record
UCCCUCCCUGCUCCAGGGAACACAAUCGAUGCCGAUGUGAGCUCGCUAGACCACUGUGUGUUGGAAGGUCGUGUAUGUGAGCAUUUUGUUUCCAGCGCCAGUUGCAUGAUUUUCGCCCCAUAGAGGAUCGUCUUCAAAAAGGAGACGAGCGUUCCCACUCCAGCGCCGUGUUGGUGUUAUUACACUCACAACUUUUGCUGUCUAAAAGGGAAAACCGUUUCCACGGUGCCGACUAGACAGCAGAAAGACGAAUUGAAUGUAGCAGGACUGGGGGAGAAAAGAAUCUCCUUUCAAGGUUGUGACAGCAGUUGUGAAGGAUUCAGAAGCCAGUUAUUCGAAUCUUAUCCCAAACUGAGUGAGGGUGGUGGAUUUGAACUAAUGAAGAUUUCAGGAUCUACGAGAAGCUGGAUCUUGGCUGUUAGUCCUUGCCCUAAUGAGGGGUACUCGGCAAAAUAUUUAAGGGACCCAGAAACCCAAAUUGUCUGCUGCAAUUCAUUUUGUAGGUUCCUGGACUGUCCUUAUCCACUGGGCCCCUGAUGAAGUGCCUCUUUUGUGAGAGACUUUUCUUUCUCAGAAAUAGUCACAGUGACAGCUGUAGCAGCAGUGAAGAAGACAAAAGCAUUAUACUGCAAUUGGCAUUAAGCUGGGAUCUUCCAGGGGUGACAGAAGAAAAUAGGCAUUGGCUAAUGGACAAACUCCUCCUUCACGCUGUUAUUGUAAGAACAACUCGACAGGUUAAACAGCUGAGGAAAGGACUGAAAGAGACAUUGGUCUGGCCUCUCCUGAAGGAAAGAAGUGAUAUUAUUCCACUGAUGUUUCCGAGGGCCUCUGACACACUAUACACCUCCCCGAUGAUCCUUGAAAGAAUCACCUGGCCCACACUGAAUGUGGAGGAAGAUGAUGAUGAGGAUGACUGUUCUCUUGAGACUAAAUGCCGUAUCACAGGCUUCUUCAGGACAUUCAUUGAAACGCAUCACCAAGAGUGCUGAUUGAUCUCCUCAGAUUCUGGGUUGGAUGGGGGGUCCUCCCGAAGGAGCUGUCUGUUGAGGUCACAGAUACCAAACUGCCCAAAGCAUCCACCUGCUUCGAAACCAUUAAACUACCCAGACACGACUUUCACUACUCAUCAUUUGAGGAGGAUCUUCUUUCCUGUAUAUAUACUGUGGACACCGGCUUUGGACUUGUCUAAUUUAGAAUUCUGCCAUGAGAAAUCUGUUUGAACUCCUUCAGGGGCCAAACUGUUAUUUGAUUUGACAACUAGAAAUGUAAACAUGACAAAGUAAAAAAAAAACAUCCAGGUUAAUGUUCUGCUAUAUAAAUACUAAAUGUACUAAGAAAGAAAUUCAAAUUAACGACUGGCAAUUUUAUUAGGCCAUUUUAUUAUUUUGAUUACAAUAAAUAAUGCACUGGGGGGGGGGGGGGCAACAACAUUUUUUUUUUCUUCUAAAAUACUUGCUUAAGUUUGUGAAAACAUCUGUUAAAUAUCAACAUAAGCACAGGAACUAUUGUCAUUUAUUUAUUUAACAAAGUCAGUGCUAUGACAAAAAAUACAGCUGUCCCAAACAAUAAAAAAAUCAUCACAUUUGGAUGUCUGUUUCUUUAUAA